AGUGAACGCUGGCGGUAGACCUAACACAUGCAAGUCGAACGGCAGCACAGUAAGAGCUUGCUCUUACGGGUGGCGAGUGGCGGACGGGUGAGGAAUACAUCGGAAUCUACUUUUUCGUGGGGGAUAACGUAGGGAAACUUACGCUAAUACCGCAUACGACCUACGGGUGAAAGCAGGGGAUCUUCGGACCUUGCGCGAUUGAAUGAGCCGAUGUCGGAUUAGCUAGUUGGCGGGGUAAAGGCCCACCAAGGCGACGAUCCGUAGCUGGUCUGAGAGGAUGAUCUGCCACACUGGAGCUGAGACGCGGUCCAGACUCCUACGGGAGGCAGCAGUGGGGAAUAUUGGACAAUGGGCGCAAGACUGAUCCAGCCAUACCGCGUGGGUGAAGAAGGCCUUCGGGUUGUAAAGCCCUUUUGUUGGGAAAGAAAAGCAGCAGGUUAAUACCCCGCUGUUCUGACGGUACCCAAAGAAUAAGCACCGGCUAACUUCGUG
RNAcentral lists this ribosomal RNA (492 nucleotides) under uncultured bacterium. Its description in RNAcentral is "partial 16S ribosomal RNA". It matches the Rfam family "Bacterial small subunit ribosomal RNA", at positions 29 to 507 of the family's 1533-position model. The record is from RNAcentral.